ACAUUCUCAUAACCGGGUGGAGCAACGGGUGAACCACGGUUAGACGCCUGAAUAACCGUUUCCUGUCUCUGAACCAAAGCACGGAGCUCCUCCUGACCCUGAGCAACCCCUUGCAUCAUCGUCAAAAAUUGGGCCAUGUUCGCCCUCAUCUCAGCUAAUUCAGUCUGAACCUGAUCCAUGCUUCUUCGCUGAUUUAGUCUUGUAGAAUACC
This 211-nucleotide long non-coding RNA is filed under the name Lathyrus oleraceus (garden pea). RNAcentral describes it as "Pisum sativum (pea) long non-coding RNA (PSAT_LNC030342)". The record is from RNAcentral. Lineage: Eukaryota; Viridiplantae; Streptophyta; Magnoliopsida; Fabales; Fabaceae.